Molecule: ribosomal RNA, 219 nt
Filed under: uncultured bacterium
Lineage: Bacteria
Description: partial 16S ribosomal RNA
Rfam family: Bacterial small subunit ribosomal RNA
Source: RNAcentral
GACGAACGCUGGCGGCGUGCUUAACACAUGCAAGUCGAGCGGUAAGGCCCUUUCGGGGUACGACGAGCGGCGAACGGGUGAGUAACACGUGGGUGACCUGCCCUCAGCUCUGGGAUAAGCCUGGGAAACCGGGUCGUAAUACUGGAUAUGACUCCAUGACGCAUGUUGUGGGGUGGAAAGCCUUGUGCGGCUGAGGAUGGGCCCGCGGCCUAUCAGCUU